CCUACGGGUGGCAGCAGUGAGGAAUAUUGGUCAAUGGGCGAGAGCCUGAACCAGCCAAGUCGCGUGAGGGAGUACUGCCCUAUGGGUUGUAAACCUCUUUUGUCGGGGAGCAAAAGCCGGACGUGUCCGGCUGUGAGAGUACCCGAAGAAAAAGCAUCGGCUAACUCCGUGCCAGCAGCCGCGGUAAUACGGAGGAUGCGAUGGUUAUCCGGAUUUAUUGGGUUUAAAGGGUGCGCAGGCGGAUUAUUAAGUCAGCGGUAAAAUCGUGGGGCUCAACCCCAUCCAGCCGUUGAAACUGGUGAUCUAGAGUGUGCGAGAGGUAUGCGGAAUGCGUGGUGUAGCGGUGAAAUGCAUAGAUAUCACGCAGAACCCCGAUUGCGAAGGCAGCAUACCGGUGCACAACUGACGCUCAGGCACGAAAGCGUGGGUAUCGAACAGGAUUAGAUACCCGAGUAGUC
Molecule: ribosomal RNA, 458 nt
Filed under: uncultured bacterium
Lineage: Bacteria
Description: partial 16S ribosomal RNA
Rfam family: Bacterial small subunit ribosomal RNA
Source: RNAcentral